Molecule: long non-coding RNA, 2617 nt
Organism: Prosopis cineraria
Lineage: Eukaryota; Viridiplantae; Streptophyta; Magnoliopsida; Fabales; Fabaceae
Exons: 3
Source: RefSeq, a predicted model, not a curated record
GGAAACGCACAAACGGGAGAGUGAGAGAGAGAGAGAGAGGAAGAAGAAAGGAGAAAGAGAGGGAGUUAGGCUCGGAUCUAGGAGUUUUUGCGACCGUUGCGAGCUCGGCUACACGAUAGAAAAUUGUUGGUGGAACUUAUUGAGAAGUAAGGAACAAGCCGAGCCCUAUUUUGUACAAGAGGAACCCUUUUAGUACCAAAGGGUUGAGGUCCAGGCGAAGGAUCCAGUGGUGGACGGAGAAAGGAGCAAAGCUAGGGGUUUGCUUGUGAUUUGUAAAGAACUGCAACCCCUUUUUUUUGAGAAAAUAUAUUGUAAUGUAUUUAAGAUUAGGGUGCCAGUAGGAUAUGAUUGUGUGAGUGUGUGUGAAUAUGUGUGGAUUGUGUGCUUGUGUAUGAAUUUUUGUCUGUUUGCAGACUUGUGGUUAAGAAACUUGGUUAUGAUGUGUGAUUUUGAUGGAUUUACUUAGUAGACCAAGUUUCUAUUACAAGCAGAUCUUUAUUUUGAUAUAUAUGUGAUUUUAUAAGCAAAUGCAAAGUGAUUGCAUUGCAAAUGGUGUGCUAUGGGCAAACAUACAGCUUGGAUAGAGAGAGUGGGUGCGUGGGCCCCACAAGGAGCUCUGAGCCAAGUGAAAAUGUUUAGCAUAUGUAUUUAUAUAAAUACAUGGUAUUUGGAUUGAUUUGUGACCACUCUUGUAUGAUUUGUGCAUUUUGGGGGUUUAGGGUCCAUUUUGGGAAAUGGCACCCGGGUGGUCAAAUUUUGAUGUAUGGGGGUUUUCUCAUUUGAAUGUUCUAUCAAGUGUUUUUAAUCUUAUUUGACGUGUCCAAAGUGUUUCCACAGGUUUGUGACCAUUAGGAUGAGAUUUGAACAAUUUUGAAAAUGGUUUUUACCAAAAAGCUGCACUUUUGCAUCCGGGUGUCCAAAUCUUAAUCCGACCGUUGGAUUUCUCUAAAAUUUGGGUCACAAGUAAAACCUUUUAUAAGCUUCGUGUGGGCUUUAGAGUCACAUCGAUUGGAUAUCGGACGGAGAAACGACGCACUCCGGAAUUUGGUCUGGAAGUGCUGUCAUGACAGCAUUAAAUUGCUGUCAUGACAGCUACAGUAUUGAUUUUAUAACCUGUACAAAAUUCAAUCCGUCUGUUGGAUCUUUUCAAAAUUUAGUAUGCUAAUAGUAUUCUUUAAAAGUGACAUGUGGGCUUUGGAAUCACUUCGAUCGGAGGUCAGAUGAUGAAAUGGUGCACUCCGGAAGUUGGUCCGGAAGUGCUGUCAUGACAGCUUUUUGACAGCAAAAAUAAUCAAAUUUUUAACAUGUCUAAUUUUAAAUCCGACCGUUGGAUCUUUUUGAAAUUUGGUAUACUUAUAGUACCCUUUGAAUGUGACGUGUGAGCUUUAAAAUCACUUUGAUCGGAGGUCGGAUGGCGGAACGACGCCUCCCAGAAGUUGACUCGGGAGGGUUGUCAUGACAGCAAUUUAAAUGCUGUCAUGACAGUAUCUUUUUAUUUCUCUUUCGUCUAACUUGUUUCCGUGCGCUAUAGUUAGAACCUAAAAUUUUUUUAAGGUUUUAAAUGUUUACUUUGCAAUCGUAUAUUUGCUUAGUGAUUUAAAUGGUUUGUUUCCUAAGUUGGUUUUAGGAUUAACUCCUUAACCACACUUAGUUUAUUUGAAUUGUGUGAUUUUUGGAUAACACUCAGAGCAAGUGUUACACAAAGUUUCACAUUAAUUAAAUAAAGGACUCUCCUAGUGUAUAAAUACUUGAAAAUGAAGUGAGCUAGUAAAAUGGGCUUGGAGGAGAAGUAGACUCACGCAUAUGAGACAGGCCAACACAGGGCAAUCGCAAUUGAAAUCAGCCGAUUCGCCCCCCCUCCGCGCGAGUUCAAGAGGUAAUGGGUUCUUUUUACCUAAUUAUUUUUACAAAAUAAAUAAUUAAUUAAUUAUUUUUGCUUACUGAAAAAUCUCAAGUUUUGGCUGUCUAGAAUUUAAAUUCAAACCAUGAAUGUUUUUUUUGUCAUUAACCAAAUUAAUUUUCUUAAUGUGUUUGUCUCCCCAACGUUUUCAAACAAAAAUUUAACUGUGAUUUACGUCUGCGUAACUCUCCAAACAAGCGUUUAAACGUGAUUUAUGAGAGCAUAACCGAAGCUUUAAUCUGUUGAUUAUGGGCCAACGUUUAUGUCUCCAUCUUCGGGCUAUAUAUAAAUAUGGGUGCAGACAGAGCAAGUCGCCAGUUUCUUGAGUUUUCAGGACAAUUCUCUCCUUCCUCUCUUUGUUGUUCAUCUUAUUGUGUUUUAAUUUCUGCUAUUCUAUUUUCUUAUUCUGCAAGAAGUGCUUGUUUAAUCUUAAAAAACUGCCGGUCUGUUGUUCCGGUGUGUCAAAAUAGUUUUUAAGGACAGUGUCCUUUCAAGCACGACUUAAGUAGUUUGUAGUUUGCCGUUUACGUCUUUCACUGGUGCCGCCAACAGGUACAUAGUGCAUUUGACGCAAAAGCAAGACAAGUUGUCAUGGCCACCACAAUGCUUGCUGCUCCUGUAAGUGUGAGUUACAAAAUUCGAGCCCUGCAUGUUGGCUGUUGGCAUGCGGGUACAUAAACUGUAAAUAUUAAAUUAAUUGUUUUUUUUUUUAAUAAG